GGACGAACGCUGGCGGCGUGCCUAAUACAUGCAAGUAGAACGCUGAAGAGAGGAGCUUGCUCUUCUUGGAUGAGUUGCGAACGGGUGAGUAACGCGUAGGUAACCUGCCUUGUAGCGGGGGAUAACUAUUGGAAACGAUAGCUAAUACCGCAUAGCAAUGGAUGACCCAUGUCAUUUAUUUGAAAGGGGCAAAUGCUCCACUACAAGAUGGACCUGCGUUGUAUUAGCUAGUAGGUGAGGUAACGGCUCACCUAGGCGACGAUACAUAGCCGACCUGAGAGGGUGAUCGGCCACACUGGGACUGAGACACGGCCCAGACUCCUACGGGAGGCAGCAGUAGGGAAUCUUCGGCAAUGGGGGCAACCCUGACCGAGCAACGCCGCGUGAGUGAAGAAGGUUUUCGGAUCGUAAAGCUCUGUUGUAAGUCAAGAACGAGUGUGAGAGUGGAAAGUUCACACUGUGACGGUAGCUUACCAGAAAGGGACGGCUAACUACGUGCCAGCAGCCGCGGUAAUACGUAGGUCCCGAGCGUUGUCCGGAUUUAUUGGGCGUAAAGCGAGCGCAGGCGGUUUGAUAAGUCUGAAGUUAAAGGCUGUGGCUCAACCAUAGUUCGCUUUGGAAACUGUCAAACUUGAGUGCAGAAGGGGAGAGUGGAAUUCCAUGUGUAGCGGUGAAAUGCGUAGAUAUAUGGAGGAACACCGGUGGCGAAAGCGGCUCUCUGGUCUGUAACUGACGCUGAGGCUCGAAAGCGUGGGGAGCGAACAGGAUUAGAUACCCUGGUAGUCCACGCCGUAAACGAUGAGUGCUAGGUGUUGGAUCCUUUCCGGGAUUCAGUGCCGCAGCUAACGCAUUAAGCACUCCGCCUGGGGAGUACGACCGCAAGGUUGAAACUCAAAGGAAUUGACGGGGGCCCGCACAAGCGGUGGAGCAUGUGGUUUAAUUCGAAGCAACGCGAAGAACCUUACCAGGUCUUGACAUCCCGAUGCUAUUUCUAGAGAUAGAAAGUUACUUCGGUACAUCGGUGACAGGUGGUGCAUGGUUGUCGUCAGCUCGUGUCGUGAGAUGUUGGGUUAAGUCCCGCAACGAGCGCAACCCCUAUUGUUAGUUGCCAUCAUUCAGUUGGGCACUCUAGCGAGACUGCCGGUAAUAAACCGGAGGAAGGUGGGGAUGACGUCAAAUCAUCAUGCCCCUUAUGACCUGGGCUACACACGUGCUACAAUGGUUGGUACAACGAGUUGCGAGUCGGUGACGGCAAGCUAAUCUCUUAAAGCCAAUCUCAGUUCGGAUUGUAGGCCGUAACUCGCCUACAUGAAGUCGGAAUCGCUAGUAAUCGCGGAUCAGCACGCCGCGGUGAAUACGUUCCCGGGCCUUGUACACACCGCCCGUCACACCACGAGAGUUUGUAACACCCGAAGUCGGUGAGGUAACCUUUUGGAGCCAGCCGCCUAAGGUGGGAUAGAUGAUUGGGGUGAAGUCGGAACAAGGUA
RNAcentral lists this ribosomal RNA (1487 nucleotides) under metagenome. RNAcentral describes it as "bacterial SSU rRNA". It matches the Rfam family "Bacterial small subunit ribosomal RNA". The record is from RNAcentral.